RNAcentral lists this transfer RNA (84 nucleotides) under Tannerella sp. RNAcentral's name for it is "tRNA-Leu". It matches the Rfam family "tRNA". From Rfam's summary of the family: Transfer RNA (tRNA) molecules are approximately 80 nucleotides in length. Their secondary structure includes four short double-helical elements and three loops (D, anti-codon, and T loops). The record is from RNAcentral. Lineage: Bacteria; Pseudomonadati; Bacteroidota; Bacteroidia; Bacteroidales; Tannerellaceae.
GCCCGGGUGGCGGAAUUGGUAGACGCGCUCGUUUCAGGUGCGAGUAGGGUUAAAGCUGUGCAGGUUCGAGUCCUGUUCCGGGCA